GUAGACGUUAGCUCAGUGAUUAGAGCACGGGCCUCUGGCUCUCGGGUCCCCGAGAUCGAGUCCCGUCGUCUACU
Molecule: non-coding RNA, 74 nt
Organism: Trichomalopsis sarcophagae
Lineage: Eukaryota; Metazoa; Arthropoda; Insecta; Hymenoptera; Pteromalidae
Source: Rfam